Mastomys coucha (southern multimammate mouse) is the source of this 1185-nucleotide RNA transcript. It is a transcript of the gene named 4F2 cell-surface antigen heavy chain pseudogene, with no coding region annotated. The transcript has 2 exons. The record is from RefSeq and is a predicted model, not a curated record. Lineage: Eukaryota; Metazoa; Chordata; Mammalia; Rodentia; Muridae.
AUGAGUAUCAGAUGCCUUGUAUCUUACUGCAUGCAAGAAAUUUGUGCAAGAUCAAGCCAAACAAAAUCCAGCCCGGGUGAUUGCAAUAUAGAGAAUUUAAAAAUUAAAUUUUAUAUUAAAGAAAUAUCAGAUGACAAAGACCUUCUACAAAGUGCCAAGAAAAAGAGCAUUCACAUCAUUUUGGACCUCACUCCCAACUACCAAGGCCAGAACGAAUGGGUCCUCCCUGCUCAGGCUGACAUUGUAGCCACCAAAAUGAAGGAAGCUCUGAGUUCUUGGUUGCAGGAUAGUGUGGAUGGUUUCCGAGUUCUGGGUGUGGGAAACCUGACAAAUGCAACCUUGUACUUGGCUGAGUGGCAGAAUAUCACCAAGAACUUCAUUGACGACAGACUUUCGAAUACAGGGACUGAGUCCUCUGACCUGCAGCAAAUUGUCAACGUACUUGAAUCUACCAGCGACCUGCUGUUAAAAACUAGCUCAUACUUGUCAGAUUCCACUUUCACUGGGAAGCAUACUGAAUCCCUAGUCACUAGGUAUUUGAAUGCCACGGGCAGUCACUGGUGCAGCUGGAGUGUGUUGCAGGCAGGACUCCUGAGAGCCUUUAUACCGGAUCAGCUUCUCCGACUCUACCAGCUGCUGCUGUUCUCUCAGCCAACGACUCCUGUUUUCAGCUACUGGGAUGAGCUUGGCCUUCAGGCAGCUGUCCUUCCUGGACAGCCUGGGAAGGCCCCAUUCGUGCUGUGGAAUGAGUCCAGCAUCUUUCACACCCCAAGACCUGUAAGCCCCAACAUGACAGUGAAGGGCCAGAAUGAAGACCCUGGCUCCCUCCUUGCCCAGUUCCGGAGGCUGAGUGACCUUCCAGGUAAGGAACGCUCUCUGUUGCACCGUAACUUCCACGCACUGUCUUCCUCAUCUGGCCUCUUCUUCUACAUCCGCCACUGGGACCAGAAUGAGCGUUACCUGCUUCUUCUACCUGGUGGUGCUCAACUUCCAGGAUGUGGGCCUGUCAGCCAGGGCAGGGUCCUCCAACCUCCCUGCUGGUAUAAGCCUGCCAGCCAGUGCUAACCUUUUGCUUAGUACGACAGUGCCCCGCAAAGCCGUGAGGAGGGCACCUCCCUGAAGCUGGAAACCCUGAGCCUGAGUCCUCAUGAGGGCUUGCUGCAGCAGUUCCCCUUUGUGGCCUGA